CAGCCGCCGCGGUAAAACAGAGGGUGCGAGCGUUAAUCGGAUUUACUGGGCGUAAAGCGUGCGUAGGCGGCUUUUUAAGUCGGAUGUGAAAUCCCUGAGCUUAACUUAGGAAUUGCAUUCGAUACUGGGAAGCUAGAGUAUGGGAGAGGAUGGUAGAAUUCCAGGUGUAGCGGUGAAAUGCGUAGAGAUCUGGAGGAAUACCGAUGGCGAAGGCAGCCAUCUGGCCUAAUACUGACGCUGAGGUACGAAAGCAUGGGGAGCAAACAGGAUUAGAUACCCCUGUAGUCCCUGUCUCUUAUAC
RNAcentral lists this ribosomal RNA (301 nucleotides) under uncultured bacterium. RNAcentral describes it as "partial 16S ribosomal RNA". It matches the Rfam family "Bacterial small subunit ribosomal RNA", at positions 509 to 807 of the family's 1533-position model. The record is from RNAcentral.